RNAcentral lists this ribosomal RNA (468 nucleotides) under uncultured bacterium. Its description in RNAcentral is "partial 16S ribosomal RNA". It matches the Rfam family "Bacterial small subunit ribosomal RNA", at positions 28 to 507 of the family's 1533-position model. The record is from RNAcentral.
GACGAACGCUGGCGGCGUGCUUAACACAUGCAAGUCGAACGGAAAGGCCCUGCUUUUGUGGGGUGCUCGAGUGGCGAACGGGUGAGUAACACGUGAGUAACCUGCUCUUGACUUUGGGAUAACUUCAGGUAACUGGGGCUAAUAUCGGAUAGGAGCUCCCGCUGCAUGGUGGGGGUUGGAAAGUUUCGGCGGUUGGGGAUGGACUCGCGGCUUAUCAGCUUGUUGGUGGGGUAGUGGCUUACCAAGGCUUUGACGGGUAGCCGGCCUGUGAGGGUGACCGGCCACAAUGGGACUGAGAUACGGCCCAGACUCCUACGGGAGGCAGCAGUGGGGAAUAUUGCACAAUGGGCGGAAGCCUGAUGCAGCAACGCCGCGUGCGGAAUGACGGCCUUCGGGUUGUAAACCGCUUUCGCCUGUGACGAAGCGUGAGUGACGGUAAUGGGUAAAGAAGCACCGGCUAACUACGUG